This 226-nucleotide long non-coding RNA is filed under the name Setaria italica (foxtail millet). Its description in RNAcentral is "long non-coding RNA (SITA_LNC007058)". Lineage: Eukaryota; Viridiplantae; Streptophyta; Magnoliopsida; Poales; Poaceae. The record is from RNAcentral.
GGGGCCUUAGCGAAAAAGACCAACAUAGAGCCGCCACCCCCACAAGAAUUUGAUGUCUAAUUUUGACAGAGAAAAAACCAAGCCAAGAACCAGACAUAUUCUCAAUAUUGGAUGGUUGUCCUAUACCAAAAGUGAUAUAAACAACAUUCCACACUGAUCUAGCCACAUGACAAUCAAAGAAUAAAUGUUGAAUUGUUUCAUCUGCACUACUGAAGCAACACUUGGU